UCAAUGUCCCACGCCUUGG
Molecule: microRNA, 19 nt
Filed under: Tribolium castaneum (red flour beetle)
Lineage: Eukaryota; Metazoa; Arthropoda; Insecta; Coleoptera; Tenebrionidae
Description: tca-miR-3845-5p
Source: miRBase by way of RNAcentral